GACGAACGCUGGCGGCGUGCCUAAUACAUGCAAGUCGAACGCAGUGGGGACGGGGUAGUAAAAAGUGGGUAACCUCCCAUCAGAGGGGAUAAACCUUGGAAACAGGUGCUAAACCGAUACUGAUGGAUGAACCCGCGGUGCAUUAGCUAGUCGGGGGGGUAACGGCUCACCAAGGCCACGAUGCAUAGCCGACCUGAGAGGGUGAUCGGCCACACUGGGACUGAGACACGGCCCAGACUCCUACGGGAGGCAGCAGUAGGGAAUCUUCGGCAAUGGACGAAAGUCUGACCGAGCAACGCCGCGUGAGUGAAGAAGGUUUUCGGAUCGUAAAACUCUGUUGUUAGGGAGGCGGUACCUAACCAGAAAGCCACGGCUAACUACGUGCCAGCCGCCGCGGUAAUUC
RNAcentral lists this ribosomal RNA (403 nucleotides) under uncultured bacterium. RNAcentral's name for it is "partial 16S ribosomal RNA". It matches the Rfam family "Bacterial small subunit ribosomal RNA", at positions 28 to 526 of the family's 1533-position model. The record is from RNAcentral.